Molecule: long non-coding RNA, 41637 nt
Filed under: Salvia miltiorrhiza (redroot sage)
Lineage: Eukaryota; Viridiplantae; Streptophyta; Magnoliopsida; Lamiales; Lamiaceae
Description: long non-coding RNA (SMIL_LNC006654)
Source: RNAcentral
GUCAACCGGCAGCAUAAUGGUGUACUUCCUCCAUUGGCGUUACCCCUGCCAAAUGAGUUGAAGGAGUCAUUUGCAUCAUUUUGCCGGUCUAUAAGAAAAUGAGACGGCAUGAUGAAUUUUGUAAAGUUGAAUCGCUGUCAUGAAAUUUGAACUAAACUGUUCUAUGUAGCAGAGCUGAAUUUAAGGCUUCUUUUUUAUGCUAUUACCACUACAAUGAUUUAGAUGCUUAGUGUGAAUAGGCAAAGUUAUAACAAGCAAAGCAACAUUAGAUGCCCAAAAUGCAAUUGGGAUAUUCGCAAUUGUUGGCGGCUCCUUCGCUCCAACAAUUGCUCCGCUACUCUCACAUUUGGUGGGCACUGUUCAUCACGCCAUUUUUAUUUUUAAUUUUUUAUGAUUAUUUUAUGCUUUUAGUAUGAAUAUAAUUUCUUUGACUUAUCUUGAUUCAUUUAAUUUUCAAAUAUAAUGAUGAUAUUAAAAUGUUAUUAUCAAAUUAUAUUUAGUUUCACUUAUAUAAUAUGUAAUAAUAUAAUAUACUUAAAUACUUUAUAUAGUAUAAAUUUCAAAAUUCAAUCAUACAAAUACAAUAUUUUCUCGGUUGCAUUUUAUUAGGCUUGUAUUUCUUUUUAGGUAGUCCCAUUUGGCAUGAAUUGUUUUCUUUUUUUACUUUAUACUACAUUAAAUAUGAAUUCACACAUCUUUACUAUCUUAAAUAACUAUGUUAAAAUAAAUAGAUCAAACCGGUUGAAAUCAAGUGAGUAAUAUAAUUAAUUUUGUACUAUUAUUUGUUCUAGACAAUAACAAAAAUAUAUAAAAACGCGAAAAAUAAAAUAUUUCAGAAUAAAAUAUGUAGAAUUAUUGGAAAUGAAUAUGAAAUUACUCUAUUAUAUUCUACGAUUGAGUGAACGGUUAUAGAUACUCUAAACUUGCAGGGAGAUGGAAGAUGUCUAUAGCCCAUAUAUUAGUUGUUUCUUUAUAAUAUAGUAAUACAAAAAGAAUAGAAAAAUUGGUCAAAUACAUUCCCCUUGCAGCUGAAGUGAAGUCCCAACUCAAGAGAAGAACUAACUAAUGAAUAAGACUCAACAAAAGAAGAAGAAUAAACUCAACGGGUCUGUAAAUCUAGUUGAGAACCAGGAAGCAGCUGAUCAGAUAUUACAGCUGACUUCCAGUCCACUGAAGUGGACCCCAAUAAGAUUAUCCGUAUCUAGGGCUGAGUAUUCGGACGGUUCGGGUUAAAGCCGAACUGUGCUGAAAAAAUCCGAACCCAAAUCGCCCUUAAAUAUCGAACCAAAUCAUUUCAUUUGUCAAACCGAACCAAAUCGAACCGCAAAUUUUUGGUUCGGUUUGACAUAAACCGUUUCAAUUAUUUUUUAAAAAAAUCAAAAACCUGUUUGCAAUUUGCUUGGUAGCCCAAAAAAUGGAUAAAUUCACAAAAAUGCGUACCUAAAAGAUUUAAUGUUCACCACAAAUAAAUCCACACAACUACAAGUUCACAAUAAAAUAAAAGGAAAAUUUAUAACAAUUCCACAAUCAAUAUAGCAUAAGAAUAACUCAAUAAGCAAAACAACAAGAAUCAUAGAUGCAUCUUCUUGUGCAUUAUCUUCAAUCUUCACCCCUCUACUUUCAUGAAGUUCAAAGUGUUCUCAACAACAUCACUUGUACCAACACUUUUCAUACCUACAAAAAUAAAACAAACAACAAAUUAGUGAGAAUGAAAUCAAGAAUUAAAGAAUAUCAAAAAAUAUUUAAAAUAUCUUAACCUUCUUCAAGUUUUUCAAUGCUUUUCAAAUCUUCUUCAACUGAGAUUUGUUGUCUUGAUCUUCUAGUCCAAUCUUGGGUGCAUACGAGACACUCCACAAUUUUAGGACUUAAAGAACUCCUAAACGGAUCAAGCACUCGAGUUCUGGAGCUAAAAGUGGAUUCCGAAGCAACCAUGAAAAUUGGCAUUGACAAUUCAUCUCGAGCAAGACGUGAAAGAAUAGGAUAUCUAUGUUCAUUUUUCUUCCACCAACUUAGGAUAUUAAAGCAAGCUUUUUAUUCCAUAGACACAUCAUUCUUGUCUUCAAGGUAUAUAUGUAACUCACUCUUGCUUGAUGAACCAUCAUUUUGCAUCUUUUGUUUUUUGAAUAUCUAUCACCCAUGUUCUCCACUUCACUGAAGGAAUCCAUCUUGAUAGUAGAAUAUUCAACAUUCUCAUAAAUUUUGCUUGAUGAUGUGUCUCAUCUAGAUUGCUAUAUCUCUUUGUAAGCAUCAAAUAGCUCAUUCGUGGCAUCCAUCACACCUUUGGCCAUCACCUUGCCAACUUCAUCCACAUACUCCUCAACAAUUGCAUAUUCAAUGACUCAAACUUAUAAUUUGGAUUUACAACAACGACCACAUACAUAAGUUUGUUCAUUUUCCUAGGAUCUCCUCAAUAUUUCUCAGCCUUUGCCAUCAUUUUGACACUCAUUGCCCUUACAUCUUGUUCAUCAAGGCGCAUCCACUUUUCAACAACAACUUCACUCUACUAAUCUCAUCAUAAAACUUGUUCGAGUAACAUACAAAGACCCUGAAAUCCUUAUAGUGAGAUGAUAGAAAGUGGAUAAAAGAUCAAUCAUUCUUUGAACAUUUUCCCAAUCAAAAUUGUUUGGCACACCAUUGGGAAGGUCAAGUCGAAAAUAUGGAUCUUCCAACUCAAAGCGUUCAAAAGCUUUAACAAACUUAUAUGCAACACUCAACAUCAAAUAAUUGGAAUUUCAUCUAGUGCACACAUCAAGACACAACAUACUUUUGCAUUCAAUAUUUUCAGCCUCACAACAUUCUUUAAAUCAUGCAAUUCUAGCAGGAGAUUGUUUAACAAAUUUAAUUACAUCUAUAACUUUGUUAAUUGAUGGAUUGACUUCUUUCAAACCAUCUUUCACAAUCAAAGCAAUAACAUGAGCAAUACAUCUCAUAUGCAAAUGUUUUCCUUUAACCAAUGUAACACCCCUAAAACUUAAUCUUCCUUUCAAAUAUUGAAUUAACGCAUGUAUCAUUUGAAGAUGCAUUAUCCACUGUGAUUACAAAAACUCUUGCAGUUCCCCAUUCACGAAGACAACCAUCUAAUUGUCUACCCAAAUCCUCACCUUUAUGACUUUCAAUAGUGCAAAAAUUGAUUAUCAUAUGAUAUUUCCACUCAUUAUUAACAAAGUGAGCGGUGAUGCACAUGUAAUUCAAAUGCUACAGAGAAGUCCAUGUAUCAGUGGUAAUAUACACACUUUGACUUGUUUUUUGAAAUACUCCAUUAGUUUCAACUUUUCAUCAAAAUAGAGUUGAUUGCAAUCCCUCGACAUAGUCCAAUGUGAUGGAAUUUUAAAUUUUGGUUGUAGAGCAGCAACAAAAUUAAUAAACCCUUCCCCCUCGACGUAUCUAAAUGGAAAUUCAUCUUUAAUUAUUAUUGCAGCCAAUUUCUUUCUACACAACUCUUGAUCAAACCUCCAAUCUGUGACUCUACCAGUCAUAUUCGAAUCCUCAACACAACCAUCCCCUUCAUGUAUUGUUUGCAAAGAUAAUUGUGAUUAUUUUAAGUUUAGACUAGUUGGAUGCUUCUUGCAAACACUAAGAUGAUUCCUAAGUGUAGAAGUGUCAUGCUUUUUAGACUCUGAAAUGUAAGGCUUACCACGAUAGUUGCACUUUGCUUUUUCUUUUAAGCCCUUCAUAGACAAUGGUAAAGUGAGGCCAUACAUUAGAACUUUGCUUCAUAGUCCCCUUGUUUGUGUUCGUUGUUGAUUCAUCAGCCGUCUCAACUUGAGGCUCUACAAGUACACUUGUUUGUGGUAGCUUUUCUUUAAAGCUUAAUUUCGCCAUCUACAAAAAUAUGCACAAAUUCAGUCACUACCUCAUAUUUCUCAAGAAUAUGCACAAAUUCAGCCACUGAGGUCGAGCAAAUCAGCAAAUAAUUUUUGAAACAACAAACUACCUUAUAUUUGUUACAUAUUCACAUCAGCAGAUAAUAUGCUGAGCAAACUAAUUUGCACAUCAGCAAUUAAUUUUCAAAACAGUAAACUACCUCAUUCGAAUUUAGCCUCGGCAAAUUAGCAAAUAAUAUGCACAAAAUCAGCCACUACCUCAUAUUUGUUAUGUAUCAAGAAAACUACCUAUUUUUUAAAACAAAUCAGCAAUUAAUUCCAGUAAAUCAAGCAAACAACCUCAUAUUUCUUACUUUGCAAUAAACAAAGAACAUUUUCGAAAUAGAGCUCCAAAAUUAAGGUAAGAGAACUUUAGAUUUAAACAAACAAGGAAGAGAACUAGAGAAGACUCACCGAUUCGUUUAGUGAGGGCAGGGGCUUGGGCGACGACGUCGCGGGUCUGCUAGGACCUCGGUGACGACAACUACAGACGACGAGCCUUGGGUAUCCUUCUGGGCGACGGCGAGAAGGGGCCUGGGCGAUGGCGUUGCAGCGAGGCUUAGCCUGGGGGACGACGAGGCUCGGCGCAGAAGGGGCGGCGCCGAUGUGGUGUUGCAGUUGGCUCUGAACCGCGUUAAACAUUUGUGUGCUUUACUUUACGCUUUACAUAUCGUAAUUAAUUUAUAUAUGUUAUAGUUAAGCAUACAUUUCAUAUGUAUGAACUUCAACUAACUUAGUGAGUUUGCUCUCAAGAUUUUAAAUCAAACCAAACUCAAGAUUUUAACUUAAACCACCACAUUCAGCAUAUACUCAUUUAUCAGUAUAGCUAACUAGUUGAAGAGCAAUUAGAAAGAUCAAUAAGCGAUCAACUAGUGUGAACAUACCUAUUUGGAAACUAAUCAGUCUACCUGUUAGCUCAUUGGAAUCAACCUCAGCUGACUCAUUAUCAGCUAAAUAUGUUCCUUAGACACAACUCUGAUCAAGCAAUGAAAAAGUUGUAAUUUGUGUAUCCCCUCAUACACCAAUACGUACUCGCUCCGGACCAACACAGAUGAAUGGACACGCCGUGUGGAUGAGCGACGACCGCAAAUGAACGGUGACAACGUGCGAACGGGGGCAAAAAUUUGCAGAGGUGAAGAUCGGAAAGAAAUAAUGGGUUUCACGCAAUAUGUUUAAGGCAAGAAAGAAAAUUUGUUUGAAACUAAAAGCUAAUAAUCAAAAAAUAAAAUAAAUAAAUUAGAGCCAAUACAUAACAGACAACAUAACAAAUCUGCGAACCGUUAUUAUAUGAUUAAUAAAUAUUCUCAUACAUAACUAUUGACCGCCAAUCGUUAUAAAUAUGAUUAAAACAUAACACUCAAAUAUAAUUGAAUACUUGUGACUAUUAUAGUUCUCAUUACCUAACACUGUAUAUGCAACAAAACUUUUAAAAUUGUUAUGUUUCCCAAAAAAUCGCUCAUAUCUAACGGUAUUAAUCUUUGUUGUGUAUGUAGUGUUAUGUAUGCGAGCUUUUCUAGUAGUGUAAAUUUAUCAUAGGAAAAUGAGAGAUAACAAAAAAUUGUCCCUUUAAAUUUCACUUCAAAGAGGGAUAAUAUUAUCACUAGGGCUGGCAAAUUGUGCGACUAUCCUUUGGAGUGAAAAGAAGAAAUGAGAAAUUGUAAAAUUUUAUUUUAAAAAAAAUAGAAAGCUAGAAUCCAACCGACCCAACCUGAUACACCUAAACCCGAACCCAACCCGAACCCGACACGAACCCGAUAACAACCCGAUUUGAAUCGGGUUGACACGACCCGAUAGCGACACGAUCUGAUUACGACCUGAUAACAACCCGAUUUGAAUCGGGUUGACACAACACGAUAGCGACACGAUCUGAUUACGACAUGAUAACAACACAAAUUUGAUUUGAUUCAUUCACAUGAAUAAUAAUAUAAAAAAAAAUUACAAAAUUCAUCACAUAUGCUCAACAAUCAACAUAUCCAAUAAAUCAACAAUUCAACAUAUGCCAAACUAAAAAUCCAAUCAAUAUAAAACAUUAAAGCCAAUAAGCUUAACAAAAUAUAAUAAGCUCAAAUGAAAAUAACAAUGCAUCAACCAAGAGUCGUCAAUCCCUAACAUAACUACAACAUAAUCCAAGUGAGCUUAACAAAUCAAAACAUAACUAGACUAAGUGACAGCCUUCAUGCAACAGCAAUAGUGGAGACCGAAGAAGAUUCGGUUUGAGGUUCAUCAUCGCCAUGUAGAAAGUCUUCGGCUAACUUAGAUGCUGGUACUUCGCUUUUGAGGCUUUGAACGAAAAAAAAUAUGAAUUAAUAUUAAAUAUAUAUCAAUAAUAUAAAAUGUUAACAUUAAUAACACAAAAAACUCAUACCUUUUUCUCCAAACAAUCAAUCUCUAGUGCAAAUAAUUGAUUGAAAUUUGAAAUGAAUGAAACCCUAAGGCCUAAACUAAGAAAUCGAAAAUUUAAAAAUUAAAAUAAAUAUUUAAUAAAAAUAAUAAUAUCACUAUCGGGUUACCUGAAUCCGACCCGAACCCAACCCAAUCCGACCCGAAAUUAUCAGGUCCUUAUCAGGUCGACCCGAUAAGGACCCGAACCUUAUCGUGCGUGUUACUAACCCAUUAAUUUCGUGCGGUUUCGUGUCGUGUUUUCGUGUCGUGUCAAAAAUUGCCAGCCCUAAUUAUCACACAAAAAACAGAGGGGGUACUAUUAUCCCUUUUUGGAGUGAAAAGAAGAAAUGAGAAAUUGUAAAAUUUUAUUUUAAAAAAAAUGAAAGAAAAGAAAGGUUGCAUUUGAAGGGAGAAAUUUUGUUAGCCCUCUUUUUUUCAUGAUAAAUUUAUCAAUUCACGAGAACACGCUUUUAACUUUAAUUGAUAGGCUAUAAAAAAGGGGACCUUAUGCUAAAAAAUUGAUAAGGCAUUCAAGUAAUAAAAGCAAUCAUAAUUCUCUCUUAUUUCUCUCUACAUUCAAUACUCUUCAAGCUCUUUCAAUUUUCUGAGCUUGAUUUCUCCGUUCUUUCAUAAUUCGUUGUUGAGAUUCAAACCCGACUCAAUACGUAUAUUCUGCAUACCAAAAUUAAAGUAUAUUGAAGGUAAAUGUAUGAGAUUUCUCCAGAGUCGAGCCAACCCUAGAUGUAUCACUUAAACAAUGCAAAAGGACAAUUUUAUUGUUUAUUAUGUUGAAUAAAUUUUUAAUGUAUUUAAUUUUAUAAUUUAAAAGGCUUGACUAAAUAAUAACACAAAGUUGGUCGAAGGUAUAAGUUUCAUUAUGGAUUUAGGCAUAAAACAAACUACCUUAUAUACAUUAUUUUAUUACACAUGUCAAUAACAUACACAACAUUGUUAUAUAUUUUUCAAACACUAUAUUUAUUUAUAAUAAUUAAUUUAAUUUUAUAAAUUAUAUCUAAUUCAAUUUCAAAAGAAUUUACAUUAUUGAUUGAAAAAGAACAUGGAAAAAAAAAUUAGACAUGAAAAAACAACAGGAAACAAGAAAAUAAAAGAAGAAAAUAAACUAAAAUACAAAAAAUAAGAGAAUAGGCAAAAUGAGUUUUACCCAAAAGGUAAGAAAGAUGGGAGACAAAUAUAAUUUUGAAAUUUCAAAUGAUUAUUGUUUUACCUAAAAAAACUGAUCACUGUUUAGGUUUCAAAUCUAUUAUUUAUAAUUUUUAUAUUAAAGUAAAAUUAUAUUAUAAUCUUUAAUUUAAGAUAUACCCCGGUUUGUAUUUUGUCAUAAAUAAAAUUUUAUGAAAUGAAAAAGAAUUGAAAUAAAUAAAGGAUUAAUUAUCUAGAAAUACAUGAACUAUGUCCAAAUUUUGGAUUUUAACUGAUGAGGAUAAAAAUAUGCAUUCCAGAAAUAUCGGAGGAAAAUAACGGAGAAAGAGAAAGAUUUUCGACGAACAGCACUGCCGAGCCCAAAACAGCGCUGCCUUCAACAGAACAAGCCUAGUUUUACAGAGUCAAUCUUAUCCUAAAGAGUUCAACGGCUUCAGUCAACCCGAGUCCGAAGUCAAGAUCACAACAAGGAUACGAGAUAAGCACGAAGAGUUAUAGUUCGAUUAUAAGUCAAAUAGGAGCCCAAUACAAAUUUCAACGUCGUAAUCAAUAUAAAGUUCAACGUUUCAACGCCUUUCUCGUGUUCUUGUUAUUUUCUAUUACAAGGUGAUAUUUUUGGGCACAACAUAAAUCAAAUCUAUUUUUUUGUUCAAAAAAUACAAAAAUUUUCUUCUUUUGAAAUUUGACUUGAUCCCAAAGUUUGCUAGCUGAUAACUUGAUUGUCGGAAUUCUAAUGGACAAUCCGAAUGUACCGUUAAAAAGCUCUUGAUGUUAUCUUUUUAAUGAUACUUAUAUUGUUGGAUUUUGGUCAGCGGAAUAAAUUGAAAAAUGUCAUGAAAUUCUAUAUUUUUCUUUUUUUUCAACCACUUCCAGUGACCAAAAUCCAACAAUAUGAGCAUCAUUAUAGAGCUAUCAUCAAAAGGUUCCCAACAAUACCUUCGAAUUAUUCAUCGGAUUCUAGACAACAAAGUUAUUGGUCGGCGAACUUUUGAAAUCAGGCCAAAUUUCAAAUAAUAAAAAACUUAUGUAUUUUUUGACCCAAAAAAAGAUCUAACUAAAAACUAAAUUUUAAAUAUCGUUUAUGUAUUUAAUGCAAUUUACCCAUAAACAAAAGAUAAUAUUCCCUUGGUCCAUGAUUUUUUUUUUCUUUUGGAUGUCUACAAAAAUAAUUAUUCUAUUUUUGAUAUACUUCACUAUUUAUAAUACUCUAUUUAUUUUUCACUUUUUUCUCCUAUUUUUAUUCUUUCAAUACUAAUUAACAUUUUUAUCAUUUUUAAUACACUCAAUAAUUUCAUUUUAAACUUCGUGUGGAAGUUUUCUCAUACAUGGAGUGAAUAUCUAAUGUAAAUUCAUAAAGAUAAUCAGUUAUAUUGUGACAAUUAAUCAGCUUAUUUAAGUAUCUAUUUCUGUUUUCUUUAUUUUUUUUUUUUUUUUUUUUUUUUUACUGACAUUGUCGUUUUUCGAAUAUCCAAUUAUCUGAAGAAGCGAACAUUUAUGAAUAUUUCCUGUGAAAGCGCAAAGUACAAUCAGCGAAGCGUCGUCGAUUUUUCUAGGGUUCAUCUUCAUUCAAGCAUACAAUGUCGACGCCGAAAAACACUAAGAAUUCCGACUCGGAAUCGGAGAUUGAGAACGUUCCAAGCCACGAAUCGAGUUUCGCGUCCGACUCUCUGGCUACCGCUAAUCCGUCGAGUCCUCCUAUUGUUUGCCUCUUUAAAUUCGCCGGUGACUCCGCCGGCGGUGCUUUAAUGGGCUCCAUUUUUGGCUACGGUAAUCAUCUGCUUAUCUUUUUUCCUUUUUGUUUGGCUGAAAAAUUGGAAUUUAGUCAUCAUGUGUAGACGGUUUCUGACCAUAAUUGAUGAUAAAUGUUGUCACUGCUUAUUGAGGCCUGAUUUGUGUGUUUCUUCUUCUUCUUUUCCUUGGCUCUCGUUUUGAUGUUAUCAACUGAGUUUUCUUUUCUUGUUUUGAUGUUAAUUUUACUCAGAAUGCAGUUCGUGCUUGUUUGUUAUAAAUGUGCUAUAAGAACUAAGUUGCCUUGUUCAUACAUAUAAGUUAGCACAAUCGCGGUUGUUGAGAGUGUUUUGCUGUUUUGACUGCAUUGUCAUUGCGCUUAAUUUACUGCCCGAAAGCAAUUUUAUUAGGCAGACGCUAGUUUGUGGUUAAUCAAAUAUCCCUUAGAGCACACAGUAGCAGUCAGUUUGUUCCCUUAGUAUUGUGGCGCAUGAGUUUGAUUCUCUUAUUCUGUUUAUGACAUCUCAUCAAAAGUAACAGUUAGGAUUCAGGUGCUUUAAGCAUCGGAAGGAUUGUUUCUGAAUCUUCAUAGUUCGUACUUUUAAUUGUUGGGCUGGGCUGACAAUAUCAUUAUGAUUCAUUUGUGACAUUUUAUUCUAAGAAGCAGCUAGGAUGGUUAAUUAGAGCUUUUAGCACAAAUGAUAUUUAUAAUCAUGUUUGAGCCGUCUCAACUGUGCAAGUUCUGUUUCUUGUGUUCAAUGCACUUCUUUACUUACAGUGACUUAGAUUCAUUGGACUUAUAAGCGAACAUGAUUUUCAACAUUCAAUAUACAAAUGGCUUUUGUGGGUUCAAUCCAUCUGAGUUGUGUAGUAUUUAACUGAUUUCAAUUUCUGCUGGCCUUUCAUUGUCUUCUUGUUAUGUGAUUAUCUUAUCUAUGUACAUCUAGAAUGUGAAUCCCUUACAAACUUGUCUUCAUGUUUUAGGGUCCGGAUUAAUUAAGAAGAAGGGGUUUAAGGGAUCAUUUCCAGAAGCUGGAUCUUCUGCCAAGGUGUGGCUCUCUUCAUUUGAUUAUUCUUUGACAUCACACAUGAAGCUGGACUUCCUAAUUUUUUUGUUGUAGACAUUUGCAGUUCUAUCUGGAGUACACAGUUUAGUUGUCUGUUUUUUAAAGAGAUUGCGGGGAAAAGAUGAUGGUAAGUCCUCUCACUGAGUAGAGAUGUGGCCAGCCUGAACUGCUCAUUUUUAUUUUAACGUGAUCUUUCUCUACAGUCAUAAAUGCAGGGGUUGCUGGUUGUUGCACAGGCCUUGCGCUAAGCUUUCCAGGUAUUCUAACCUCCAUUGUUUUUCUCCUAUUUCACCAGGUUCAAUAGUUUAUAUUGCAUCAUGGCACCUCUGCUGCUCUGCAUAGUUGCCUUCACGUUUGUAACUGUCAAGAACACUUCAGAUGCAUUAGUGUGUGCUUAUAUACUGUUGGUUUGUGUAAGAAAAUUCCAAAAGUUUCUCCAGUCAUUUAUAUCAUUGAGUAAUUUCCAUCUGUAAAAGCAUACCACCUAUUCUCUUGCCUGUAAUUGUAUUUCUUCAACUCACCUGAUGCUUGUUGCUCUAGGUAAAUAUAUGUAUUUUGCACGUCUGAGCACAUUUUCUUAAUUUCUGUUGUUGAUCCAUGGUUUGUGCAAGUGGUUUCUUUGCCUGCGACCGUUUAGAACAGCGCAAAAGCUGUAUUUGUGAGAUGUUUGACUCAUUUUGCUGUUUAUUUCCGCAGGUGCACCACAAGCUCUACUUCAAAGCUGCCUCACAUUUGGAGCAUUCUCGUUCAUAAUCGAAGGUCUUAACAAGCAACAACCUGCACUUGCUCAGCCAUUUUCGAUGAGGGUCAACCGGCAGCAUAAUGGUGUACUUCCUCCAUUGGCGUUACCCCUGCCAAAUGAGUUGAAGGAGUCAUUUGCAUCAUUUUGCCGGUCUAUAAGAAAAUGAGACGGCAUGAUGAAUUUUGUAAAGUUGAAUCGCUGUCAUGAAAUUUGAACUAAACUGUUCUAUGUAGCAGAGCUGAAUUUAAGGCUUCCUUUUUAUGCUAUUACCACUACAAUGAUUUAGAUGCUUAGUGUGAAUAGGCAAAGUUAUAACAAGCAAAGCAACAUUAGAUGCCCAAAAUGCAAUUACUUUAUACUCCCUCCGUCCCAACUUAAAUGGUGCGUAUUUCUUUUUGAGUUGUUCCAACUAAAAUGGUGUGUUUCCUUUUAUAUAAAUAAUAAGGGAUAAUUAGAAGACUAGGGUCCGUUUGAUUUGCAGUUUAGGAUUGAUUAGGAUUAAAAUUAUCUUGAAAAAUUAGUGUGGAUUUAUACUAUUUCAUGGGUGUUUGAUAUCAUGGCUACUUAAUCCUAUAUUGUGUUUGAUAUCCAUAGGAUUAUGUUGAAUUAUAUUAUCUAAUACCAAAACUAUCCUCAUAUGUGUGUGUGUGUUGGCCAAGCGGUAAGGGAUUAAUGCCUAAGGCCAAAGGUCUUGGGUUCGAGUCCCCUGUGGCGCGGCUAUUUAAUUUCUUUAUCUAAUAUUGUAAAUUUAUACAAAAAAAAAAAAAACUAUCUCAUAUAAUUUUAAAAAUACCAUGUGUGUCCACCAUUACUUGGGCAUUUGCAUCGAUAUGCGUGAGGAAUGGUAGCAGAAUUUUUAUCCAACUUCGCAGUAUUAAAGUUAUCUAAGGGGGGAGGGGCGGAUUAUUAGUAUGGGUUAUUCCCACAAAAUAGCAUGGAGAAGUGGGAUUAAGUAGGAGUUGACCAUAUUAACUGCACAUGAUAUCAAACAUCACACUAAUCUGUAUUAAUUUAAUUUAUCCUACCUAUAAACCCUAUCAAACAGGCCCUAAUUAUAUUAACUAAACAAAGUCCUUCUCUNNNNNNNNNNNNNNNNNNNNNNNNNNNNNNNNNNNNNNNNNNNNNNNNNNNNNNNNNNNNNNNNNNNNNNNNNNNNNNNNNNNNNNNNNNNNNNNNNNNNNNNNNNNNNNNNNNNNNNNNNNNNNNNNNNNNNNNNNNNNNNNNNNNNNNNNNNNNNNNNNNNNNNNNNNNNNNNNNNNNNNNNNNNNNNNNNNNNNNNNNNNNNNNNNNNNNNNNNNNNNNNNNNNNNNNNNNNNNNNNNNNNNNNNNNNNNNNNNNNNNNNNNNNNNNNNNNNNNNNNNNNNNNNNNNNNNNNNNNNNNNNNNNNNNNNNNNNNNNNNNNNNNNNNNNNNNNNNNNNNNNNNNNNNNNNNNNNNNNNNNNNNNNNNNNNNNNNNNNNNNNNNNNNNNNNNNNNNNNNNNNNNNNNNNNNNNNNNNNNNNNNNNNNNNNNNNNNNNNNNNNNNNNNNNNNNNNNNNNNNNNNNNNNNNNNNNNNNNNNNNNNNNNNNNNNNNNNNNNNNNNNNNNNNNNNNNNNNNNNNNNNNNNNNNNNNNNNNNNNNNNNNNNNNNNNNNNNNNNNNNNNNNNNNNNNNNNNNNNNNNNNNNNNNNNNNNNNNNNNNNNNNNNNNNNNNNNNNNNNNNNNNNNNNNNNNNNNNNNNNNNNNNNNNNNNNNNNNNNNNNNNNNNNNNNNNNNNNNNNNNNNNNNNNNNNNNNNNNNNNNNNNNNNNNNNNNNNNNNNNNNNNNNNNNNNNNNNNNNNNNNNNNNNNNNNNNNNNNNNNNNNNNNNNNNNNNNNNNNNNNNNNNNNNNNNNNNNNNNNNNNNNNNNNNNNNNNNNNNNNNNNNNNNNNNNNNNNNNNNNNNNNNNNNNNNNNNNNNNNNNNNNNNNNNNNNNNNNNNNNNNNNNNNNNNNNNNNNNNNNNNNNNNNNNNNNNNNNNNNNNNNNNNNNNNNNNNNNNNNNNNNNNNNNNNNNNNUUAUCAAUCAUGAAAAAUAAACGCUCUUUACCGACAUGACCCUAUAAAAUGUAGUAACCACUUGACAAUGUUAUAAUACAGUCUUGUUCUUUAUUUCCAGCAUCAAUCAAAUGGCCAAUGAGAAUGAGGGCCUUAUUUAAACAAAAGCCCCAUCUCUCCAGUCUCCAUGCAAGAAAUGAGUAAAACAGAAAUAAUAUCCGAAACAUGACAAUGCCCCAAAAGAGAGAAACAAGGCAAAGGGAGAAUUUAGAGCGAAGCACCUAUAAAUGUAAAAAGUUGCAACUCUUAGCAUAGCUUACUGCUUAGAAGAACCCGAGAGCUACUUCCUCCAGACAGCGUAUCUGUUACCACUAGUUGCCAGAGUCCAUUCCUUUCCAGAAGGAGACCAUGAUCCAUCUCCAAUCUUCAUAGCUAUUUUAUCCCCGAUAUUUGCAGCGUAGAGAUUUGGCUGUGCUUCUAGGAUCUUAAUUGGUGACCGACUGUUUAUUCCUUCAUUUCUCCUAAUAUCAAUCUGCAAAGUUGUGCGAAUUUAAAAGAUGUCACAAAUUGCUAGACCUGUGGAAACAAAAUUUAGAUAGUGUACCAGCUUCACAAUCUGGUCGUGGUAUGAACUACCCCAGUCGUAGAAAUGGUCGUAGAAUACUGAAGGUAUCCCUGGAUGUGUGAGUAUGUACACAUAGCCCUGUGUAUUAUACCAUCUAUUAAAAUAUAACAACCUUUCCCCCAAAAAAUAAAUGAACUUGAUUUUUAAAUAUAAUACUUAUGAAGAAAUGCUGGUGCAAUUUCCAUGAUGCUAAAAAAGAAUGGUUUCCUAUAAUCUACUGAAUCUUCAAGAGCAUUAAUCAUGAAUUUCAAUGAAGUAGUUCUGUAAAGUAAUCAUGAUAGCAUGAUGUUUGCUAGCAGAUGUCAAAAGGAAAUAUAAACAGGCAUAAAUGAGCAAAAUUACUAGAUAUACGGAUCAAGAUGCAUCUAUGGAUAGUAGAUAAACUAAUUCAGAUAAAUGUAUGAAGAGUACCUCCAUAAUAUGAUUUGAUGGAAACGGCCAAUGCGCCUGCCAAAAAACAAUUGCCAAAGAGUAAUCAAACUUGACUGUUAUAAUGAAACUAUCUGCUUGAAUGAAGGUGUGCGUGUGUGUGUGUGUUGUUGCGAUGACUUUGGCAAGGUUGUGUCACUGUACAGUUUUGUUACAACUUAAUUGCGCCAUAUCAUUAAAGAAGGGAAAUUCGAGAGAAUCUUGUAGGUCAAUCUCUGGUUUUGGCCCAAAGAUUGGUGUAAAAUGAAAUAAUGGCAGCAAAGUUUUCAGGCAUCACGGGAUGUUUCUAGCAGAGCAUCUAGUAAAAGUUUUCUACGGCAUUCUCACACUCUCAUUGGUAAGAACAAUUAUUACCUGAGUUGAACCAGUGUCAUGGUUAUCUAGAAAUGUGACAGCCCUUGAAGGCCACCAUCCCAUGACACCUGGAGGCUUCCCUUGAGGAUCACGCAAGCGCCAGAGUUCUCCUUUAACAGCUUGCUAAAGCAAUACAACAGCACAUAAUUUAGAAAGAUGAGAAAAACUCUUAAGUGAUCAAUCCAGUGGUCAGUUACAGAGUGGAAACAGCUAAAAUCAUUAUUUAGCUGCUAAUUAGAAAGGAACGAGAUUCUUAAUGAAUUUUUAACAAUUAAAUAUAUUACCUGCAGAAUCCCCUUUGUUGUGAAGUCAAAUGCAGCUGAUAGUUGUCCUGUGCUAUCAAUCCAGUUAAUAAUCCUUUGCCUGUGGCUAUCUGCAAAUGAAUUGAGGUGAAGAAAAUGAAAAGGCCUUCGAGAUCAACAAAUAAGUAAAAUCAUUUUCAGAAAUGCUCCUCACUCCUAGAAGCCCAGAAAUGUGCAAAGAAUUAUGAAAGAGCGGAGAAAAAAAAAAAGCUUUAGCAAGAAAGCUAAGAACUGACUAACUCCAACAGUCAAACUUAAAAUGCAGCACAACUUUCAAGAGAAAAAAGAGAAGGAAAUAGAGCUCUACAUCAGAAAAUUCACGAUAAGGUAAUGUACUAUAGAGAGCAUAACAAGUUGCUAAAGCAUUUAUGAAGAAAUCUUAUACCUUGAUUAUACUCCAAGUAUGUGCCUUUGUAGUUGCAAGAAUCCCAAUAUUCCCCAACAGAAAAGAUUGGCUUUGCACCCUCAAUAUAUUCUUUCACGUAUUUUGGAGAAUAACUAGACAGUAAAGAAAUAGUUGAACUGAUAAGGACNAUAACAAGUUGCUAAAGCAUUUAUGAAGAAAUCUUAUACCUUGAUUAUACUCCAAGUAUGUGCCUUUGUAGUUGCAAGAAUCCCAAUAUUCCCCAACAGAAAAGAUUGGCUUUGCACCCUCAAUAUAUUCUUUCACGUAUUUUGGAGAAUAACUAGACAGUAAAAGAAAUAGUUGAACUGAUAAGGACUCGCAUAUAAAAUACAUAUGGUCUGAAAUUCUUAAAAACCUGAAUGUAUUGCAUACCCUCUAGAAAAAUCAAAGCGAAAAUCCUGGAACCCAACAGUAUUCCUUAACCAUCGAAGCCAGUCCUUAAUGUCUUUCCUUACAAAGUCUUGUGUAUGAUCAAUAUUUGGGACCCCGUGAAAAUUGUCCCCGGUACUUUUGUUUCCCUAAUGGUUAAUCAACACAGAGGAAUGUAAGUAUGUUACUGAAUUAUCAAUCAUAAACAUGAAAUAGCAUAAACAUCAUCAUAAAUUUCUGUCACAUUAAGGGAUAGUUUUCCAGAUAGAUGAAAUUUUGGCAUUUCAUACUAUGAUAUUAAUGAAUGAUGCCUUGCCUACUUAGCAAACUAAGUGAUCAAGUGCCAUAGCUAAUUAGCUCUUCUCCAGUUGUCUAGAGGAACCUGCAUAUCCUAAUCCAGUAUUCCCCACACCCACAGACCAACAUUUCUCCAAUAAUUGGACAAGGCACUAAACAUUGAUAUAAGUUGUUGUGAAACUUAGGUAGCAUAUGCAAAAAUCAACCUUAAGAGUAUAACUAGUAGAUCUUGUUAGUUAAGCAUUGUCAUCACCUUUCCUCCAGUGCAGCCAGUAACAGCACGUUCAUCCCAUGAUAAUGGGAUUCCAUCAUAGCGGUUGUACAUUCCACCAUGCCCUUGUGUGGUACCAACUCGAUGAUUUAUAACUAUAUCAGCCAUUGCUCUAACUUUGUAUGUUUUCAUCUUGUUCAGUAAAGCUUUGAGCAGGUUCUCAGACCCAUAUGAAGAGUUAAGGGAAUAAAGGUUCUGGGGAAGAUAACCUGCCGGUCAAGAGAUCAAAUUUGGCAUAAUGAAUAAGACAACUUAGUCAAACAGCAUAAAACUGAAGCAUCGAUUUCUAUAUCAACCUUCUGGUGCAAAUGAAUGAGUUGGUGGGGGCAACCAAGCUGAUGUAAAACCAGAUUUUGCUAUAUCAGGAAUCUUUUGCUCUAAGUUCCUCCACCAAUCAUGUUUAUGAGACUCCCAAUUGAAGGCCUGCAAAGAAAAUAAUCACCAUAUAGAUAUCUGAUUAAAUACACUAGUGUUUAACUAAGCUUAUUUGAAAGACCUUAUAAGCUCUAACAAUAUUUUUUACUACCUAUAAGCUAUUAAGCAAUGAUCUUUUCUUAAAAGAAACUGUGGAUUCCCUAGCUUAACAUCUCAUUAUCAAAGGGCAAAAAAGUCAUUUCUUUAAUAAUAAAUGGUUAUGUAACACAUUCAAGGAGCCGAACACACACUUCCUCUGGCCACAAAGCAACAAUCCUCUUUGAUAAGCCCAUGUUCGAACCAAAAUACAAAAUAAGAAAGACCAUUUAUCUACUAAACAUUGAUAAUUAUCAAUCGAUAUAAUAUUUAAAUUCAGAACUGUUAUUUUGUUCGUAUUUUUUUAAUUUUCACUGCUGCAGUCAGGAAANNNNNNNNNNNNNNNNNNNNNNNNNNNNNNNNNNNNNNNNNNNNNNNNNNNNNNNNNNNNNNNNNNNNNNNNNNNNNNNNNNNNNNNNNNNNNNNNNNNNNNNNNNNNNNNNNNNNNNNNNNNNNNNNNNNNNNNNNNNNNNNNNNNNNNNNNNNNNNNNNNNNNNNNNNNNNNNNNNNNNNNNNNNNNNNNNNNNNNNNNNNNNNNNNNNNNNNNNNNNNNNNNNNNNNNNNNNNNNNNNNNNNNNNNNNNNNNNNNNNNNNNNNNNNNNNNNNNNNCUAUGUAUAAACUUCUUCUUUGUUGGUUGAAAAUUCAAGCAAAAUUAUGCUAGCUUUAUAUAUAUAUAUAUAUAGUAGUUAUCAAAUGUUUAAGAGGAAUCAUGCUAUAAGCAUACAAGUAACCAUGUUAUUAGUUACUAUAAGAAUAUCAUGUUAACACUGGGCAACUUAAAGUUAUGGGCAGAGUAAAAAUUGCAUAUACCGAAAACAUGGAAGCUUAGUAACAUCUAACUAAUGAUUUUGGUCCACUAGAUUUGUGUGUUUGAUUCAAAGGUUAGCAUCGAAAAGAUUGACUACAAACUUUUGGAAAAGCAUACCAGGAUCAUUUUGCCCAUUACUAUUGCCCGAUUCCUGCAGUCAGAGGGAGAUUAUAUGAGUGGAGCAAUCUUAUCUAGCUGCAUAUAUGUGAAUUUGAACACACAUCUAACAGAUUUGCACAUCCAAAAUAAUAAUCUCUGUACUUUUUGGCACUAAAGUGACAAAAGUGAACAAGAAAACAAUUAGAACAACUAAUACUAAUCGAACUAGGGAAAACCUACAUUGCCCAUGUUAUAUCACCAAGAAGUUGAAAGCCAGGCGGUGCUGAUCAAAAUGAAGCCCCUGCAUCCACCAAAAGUAAUACAGUCAGUACAAGUAUCAGAAGAAUAAUAAAUCAAGAGUAUGACAAUGAUUGAGUCAUAAGCACGGAAUUUGAUUAAGAAAACAUCUCCUGGAAAUGGGAUGGUUAUCCUGGGAUUUUAAAGCUGAGAAAUGAACUCAUCAGAAGCUGGAUUUGGGGCGAAUCAGUCAAAUAUAAUUAUCGUAUGACUGUGUAUAAACAACACAUCAUCUAUUAAGCAACUGUAUAACUAAUUGCCGAUAAGUUUUAAAAGUUUCAUAAGGUAUGAGGCAGAUUAUGAGUUGUUCAUCGUACCAAAGCAGUUUGCCUAAAACCAAAAGUGGAAAACUCAAAACAAUAUGCAUGACAAGGGAGAGCCUAUCAUGCCACUACUCCGCAAUUUGCUGACAUGUAAAUCUAGAAUAGCAUAUAAUGCAGUAAUACAUGGCAAAUUAUAGUGCUGUAAACAGAUUGUGGACAAUCAAAAACCAUAAAUGUGAGAGAACGCACGGCGAAUCUGCAGCCUCUUGAACAAACCGAUGAAAGGAGUUGAUCUUCACCGCCUAUAUAUAGAUGGAGAAAAGAUAAAAGUAGAGGAAUUGGAAUCCUGGAACAAUUUCCAGCCAUGAAUGAAUAAAAAAAGGAAUCGCAAGAGUGGGAAUUCGGGGUGAAUAUGAGAAGGAACAAACUUGAUCAACUCAGAAUUGAACGUCUCCGAGCAAAGUGGAGCAGAGAAUCGGAGCUUUCAAAAAGGGGUUGGGCUUUUUUGAGAUUCGAUUCGACGUUGAUUUUCGGUAAAGAUGUUCAGAUUCGUGUGUUUUCAACGGUAAAUGGAAUGCGCGGGUGCACCGAGUGGUAUAGUCCGGCACGCACACGAUAUUCUCGAUCGUGUCAAGGGGAAUUGAAUGCCGUGAGCGGAACUAGCUGGCAGCCUAACUGCUUUCAAGUUUCAACCACCUUAAAUUCUGUGUGUACUUACAUUUGGCCUUUACUUACUAUCUCAGCUUAUUCUGCUUCUUUAUUUGCAUACCAACUAUUGCAUUGCAUUUGUUAAAACUAGAUCAAGCUGAAUAUAUAACCGCACAAACCAGUCACUCAUACAAUUGAUUAGCUUGCUAUUAGUCGGUAGAAUUAAUAACUCAACACUUAAUAUGAUCAAGCUUAUCUGAAACUUGAUCAGUCUGCUUAACUAACUGAUUAGAAAAGAUGUUGAGCAAGCAUUUGAUGUUUUACAAGCUCGUUUUGCUUUUAUCAAGCGCCUAUAUCUUAAUUACGGAAAACAUAAUAAUUAUUUGUGUCAUCAUGCAUAACAAUAUAACAUGAUAGUGAAAGAUGAAAGCACUUACUUUUACUAUCAUGAUUCGACAUAAUUUAUCGAAGAUCGAGUAAGACGGAAUAGGAUAGCAAGCCUAGCGAGCUAUAUGAGAAUUGAGAACUUGGUCCCAACUUUGCAAUAUAGAAGCUCACAGCGCUCUAUUACAUGACUUGAUCGAGCAUAUAUGAUAAAAAUUUGGCAAUCGUAAGUUCGUAACUAAAUGCUUAGUAUCGAUUGUUUAUUUUCAAUUUCGAGUUUGGAUUAUUGUAAUUUAGAUUUUUAGUUUGUUGUAAUUUGAAUUGUUAUUAGUUUGUUAUUCUUUCUCGUUUUUUCUAAUUUUUUUUACAAUAUUUAUAAUAUUACUAACAUUAUUAUGAUAAAAAAUAAUAAAAUAAUAAUUAUAUAUAAUAUUGUUGUUAGAUAGUUGGAGUGAUCAUUGAUAAACUAUCAAAAAAUAGAAGUUGUUGGAUUGAUAUGAAUAUUGAUAAUAUGAAAGUGAUAAAAAUUAAUUAAAUAUUACACAUAAUCUUCUGUAAGACCGAUUGCACCCCAUCAAAUGGGUUGGCCCGCGCCCGACCCAACCCACUUAGCUACCCCCGGGCCUGACCCGAUGUGAGAAAAUAUAAAAGAUUUUCAUUCUCAAACCCUAGCCACUCCCCUCUUCUCCUCAUUUUCUCUCUCCUCUCCCCACCGGAUCUCCUUCUUCUCCCUCGACCUUCGACGCGGCAACCUCACAAAAAUGACAGGAGGUCGCCAACGAUGUGGGGUCGCGGUGCCCAGCCUACCCAGCCAAGAUCUCUAUCCACUGCUGAGAUCGAGAGAAGCUACGCGCCGAGAUCGAGCGAUCCAGCAUCGGUGCUAGCCGAUCCGCCUCGUUGCCAAGCAGCAGCGGCUUCUCUAACAUUUCGUGCCUCGCUCCACGGUGGUUGUCCACCCACCGCUCCGACAAUAAUUGUUACUUUUAUUCAUGAUAAUUUGUACUUUUAGUUAUUUGAUCAAAUAAUUAUUAUUGUAAGAAAACGUAAUUAUUAAUAUGUAUAAAAAUAAUACUCCCUCCGCCCCAUUAGGCUUGUCCCAUUUCUUUUGGGCACGGUUAUUAAGAAGAGUAUAAUUAGUGUAGUAAAAAUGUGUAAAGUUGUGGGGCCAUAUUAUUUGUAGUGUAAAAUCAUUACAAAAUAUAGAAAUAUGACAAGAUCAAUGAGACAACUCAAAAAAUAAAAUAGGACAAGAAGCAUUAUUUUUACUCGUUAAAACUUGUACUUUUAUAUAGUUGGUCAAGUAAUAAUUGUCGUCAGAAAAAGUAAUUGUUGAUGUGAUGAAAAGUAAUGUUUCAAAAACAUUACAUUUCUUUAUAUCAAUAAUUACUUUUCAUUAUAAUAAUAAGUGUUAAGUACCAAAUUCUCUCUAUCGUUGGUGUCCCUAUCGCGUACAGGACCCUAUAGUAAGGGUUAGAGUUGCUUACUACCUCAACGUGGCAAAAUUGCACCAAAUUCCCCCCAGCCUUUAACGGAUGCUAACGCCGUUAGAAUAAAUAUUUUUUUAUUUUAUUUUUAAUUAAGAUGGGCUCCAACGCUCUCUCUCUCUCUCAUUGAGUGCCUCAGUUCAGUUUCCCGGCGAGGCCGCCGCCAUCUUCGGUGGAAUCUGUUGUCGUCGCCGUUACUGCUACCGCUUGGCCGUCUCGCCGUUGACCUCUUCCUAGCGAGGCCGCCGCCACGUCCUGCUCGACUACUUCGACGCUCCCAAGCUCCACAAAAUCUCCUAGGGUUCCGUCCUCUCCACUACCCUCUGCCAGACCACCGGCAACACCGCCAGCCAGCCUGGAUUCGUCAACAUCGCCGACGUCAAGGGCGACAAGGUUUCCUUCAGAUCCGGCAUCCCCAGCUCCCCGCUCGACUCCACCUUCACCAAAUCCGUCAAGCAAUUCCCCUACAACCUCUCAGUUAUCGAGGUCAACAAGGCCAUCGCCCCAUCCGCUGUCCUCACUGCGUCGGCUCCUUCUGCCAACCUCACCACGCCGCUCGAGAAGGGCAGCUGCAAGACCUUCGCCUCUCUCAUCGUCUCCAGCGGGGUGUUCAAGGCGGCGGACGCGCCAGAUCUGAGCAGGCAAACUCAAGGGUGAGAGAGAGAUAGAGAGAGAUGUGGCCCACCUUAAUUAAAAAAAAAUAUAUUUAUUCGAACGACGUUAGCGUCCGUUAAAAGGCAAGGGGAAUUUGGUGCAAUUUUGCCACGUUGAGGUAGUAAAUAGCUCUAACCCUGACUAUAAGGUUCUGUACGCGAUAUGGACGCUAACGAUAGGGGGAAUUCGGUACUUAACCAUACUAAUGAUUACUUUGUAUUAUGUAGAAAUAAAUAAUAUACAAAAAAGAAAUAAUCAAGUAAUAUUCAAUUAAUCAUUGUCGUAAAGAAAAGUAGCUAUUAAAAGUAAAUAUUCAUAUUAGGAUUCAAGAUUUAGUGUUUAGGGUUUAGUGUUCAGGGUUUAGGGUUUAGUUUUCAGGGUUUAGGGUAUAUAAAAUAUAAUACUUUAUAUUGAAUGAAGGUAAAUACUUAUAUUAACAUAAGUAUACAUUUGUGCAAAGAAAUGUAUAUUUUAUACUCCCUCCGUCCCAGCUGAAAUGUCCUGUUUUCAUUUUUUGGCAAUACACUCUCUCUCUGUACUUAAUAUUUAAAUAAUUUUCACCAACCCACUUUAUCUACUUUAUACACAUUUCUUAAUCUCCGUGCCGAAAAGAAACAAGACAUUUCAGCUGGGACGGAGGGAGUACUUAUUAAAAGUAAAUAUUCUUAUUUUGGGUUAGGGUUUAGUUUCAGGGUUUAGGGUUUAGGGUUUAGAAAAUAUAAUACUACUUUAUAUUGAAUGAAGGUAAAUACUUAUAUUAACUUAAAAAAAAAAAGGUAAAUGCUUAUAUUAACAUAAGUAUUCAUUUGUGCUAACAAAUGUAUAUCUUAUGCUAUUAAAAGUAAAUAUUCCUAUAGCGUUUAGGAUUUAGAAAAUAUAAUACUUUAUAUUUAUUUGGUCAAAUAAUCAUUGUCAUAAGAAAAAAUAAUUAUUGAUGUGAUGAAAAGUUCUUCAUGUCAAUAAUUUCUUUGAUAACGUAGAAAUAAAUAAAAUACAUAAAAAAGAAAGUAAUUAUUGUCGUAAGAAAAAAUAACUAUUAAUAUGAUGAAAAGUAAUGUUUUAAAAAUAUUACAUUUCUUCAUGUCAAUAAUUAUUUUUUAUUAUAAUAUUAAUUACUUUGAAAUAACAUAGAAAUAAAUAAAAUAUAGACAAAAUAAAAUAAAUAAACAUUGUAAAAAAAGCAGAAAAAAAUUGAAGCAAUAAAAAAAACUGAAAUAAAAACAUAAAUAAUACAGCAAAAAAAAAUGAAGAGAGAAAUUGGACUAAAGCAAUUAAAACAAUAAAUAAACAAAAAAAAACUGAAAUAAAAACAUAAAUGACACACAAAAAAAAAUGAAGACAAGAAUAGGCAUCUACUAAAGUUUCAACUUUCAAACCCAUAACCUCAGACUUUACGCGCAAGAGUGGCCCGUGCACCACAACAUUUGGACAUUUGGUUUACUUUCAAUUGUCAAAAUAGUGAUAUAGGUGUUCUAUUCGGGUCGAAUCAAGACGGAUCCGACCCGUCUGACCGUUAGACCAAUUACGCACAAGACUGACUCUUUAAAGAUGAUUGAAUGAUUGAGAUGAUAGCCGAUAAACAUAUAUAAAAAGAAAUAAACACGGAGCAUUUUUUUGGAGGAGAUAGUUUUUUUUUUGAAUAAAUAAUUUUAAAAAUUACGUGAAAGUGGAAUUGAAUAAUUUUCGAGAGCAAAAGUGAAAUUGAAAUAUUGAAUCAUUAAAAUACGCACACGCACGUCUUUCUAUUUGUUUAACGGGAUAUACAGUUUAUUGAGUAAUUUGACGCAAAUUCAAAUGGCAUAAUUACCAACCUUGCACCAAAUUGGUUACGUAGGUCCUAUAUACUUUUGUUUUAUAUUGUUUAAAACAAUAAAUAUUUUUUAAUUUUUACCUUAAUUAUGAUUUACAUAUUGUAUAGUAUUUUUUUCGUUUAGAUUUGCAAACAUUAAAAAUAAUAGCAAACAUUAAAGAAGAUUCGUAUAAUUAUUAAAUCAAAUUAUAAAAUAAUUUAGAGAAUAUUCUUUGAAGUUAAGUUAGGCCAUUUUAGCAUCAGAAUAACACAAAAUGAAGCACACCACCACUGCAGUUGCCUUUCCAAAGAAAAAAAAGAUCCAAAUGGUAGUAACGAGAAUAAGUUUUAAAUAAAAUGGAGGAUAUCCUCCAAAAAAGGGUUCCCUUAAAUAAAUGGAUAAUAACGAGAACGAGUUUCUAAGAAAUGGAUAAUAAAGAGAAUGAGAAAUGGCAAUUUUUCCAUGUUUUUUUUUUAAAUAAAAAAAGUAGGGUAACUCAUCCAAUUAUUUUAUUUAUUGUCUACCUCGGAGUGAGAGUCCAAAUUUUGUAACGCCAUUUCCGACCGAAGAUUUGUUACCAUUCCAAAAUACUCGUUAUCCACUACAACUAUUAUAAAUGGAGAUCACACAAUUAACAACAACUAUCACUCUAUCCUCUAAAAUAUUUCUUCCGAUGGGUUUCUUCUCUUCAACGGCGCCCAAGUAUUACCUCAAUCGUGUUACUAGUAAAUAUCCAUUCAUGGUUAGGCAAACUCUCCCUUUUCUUUUAUUUGAAACUUCACCUUCCAAUAAAGGAACAUUUUGGUUUAAUUUUUAUGACUUGUUUGAUUAUGCAGACUUGUGUUGUAAGGGUGAACACUCAAUCUCAAUGGCAAAGGACUGUUGCAAGAGUGUUGGACAAAUGCCACGGUAUGUUUCUUUCUAUAUUUACCACAUUUUUGUUAUUUUACUCUAUAUAAAAAAUCAGUUGAGUAUAGGGAAUAUAGUGAUUGGUGAAUGAGUGAAAGUGGGCAUAGAUCUCUUCUUUGUGAUCAUGUGUAGGAGUACACAGUUUCAGAAUGGAUGAUUAUGGCGUCAUCGAAAUAUCUGGCACCGUUGAUCCAAGUUUACUGCUGAAAAUGUUGGGGAGAGCAGGAAGAUCCGUGGAGCUGUGCUGGUUUCAGUUCGGAGAGUGUUCCAGCAACCUCUUCAUGCCAACGAACCCCGGGGAAGGAAGCACUUACUCUCGCGAUGGAAGGUACCUGCACGCCUCCAGCCUUUCUCAACCAAAGCUACCUUCAAUCAACAAUCAAAACUACGUUUUUGAUCAUGACAACUGCUACUAUAACAAGCAUGACUACAACCAUGGUCAUGGUUACCAUCACCAGCAAGGUUAUGAGCAUCAAUCUGGCCACAGUCAUGGCAGAAACCAGACUCAGAAUCGCGGUGGUGAAGACUUAGGCUGUUGCAGAGUAAUGUAGAUUGCUUGAUGCUACACUCAACCACACUCUUUUUUAAGUGAAGUUGAGUGUAGGAGCACUUUUUCAAAGCUCACUAGUUUUGAUUUUUUUNUUGGUCAUUAUCUAUGGAGCACUUUUUAAAGCUCCAUAGUUUCUGAUUCUUCCUUUUCUUCAUUUUGUAUGUUGGAAACAUUUCCAACUCUGGCAGUAUAUGAACUUGAUUACAUCUAUUGUUCACUCUUAGGUAAAUAUGUCUUGAUUCAUACUGGCGCAUUACUUCUCAAUUUGCAUAACGUGAUCAAAUAAAUGGAAUAGCAUCCAAGACAGACGAGAUGAUAUGGAAUUGAUGGCACACACUGUAACAUAAAGAUACUGAUUAUUUUUUUUUGAAGAAACAUAAAGAUACUGAUUAAGAUAAGUGGGAAAGUUUCCAACAGAAAAUUCUUACAUUUGUUGAAGUACUUGUGUUAAUGCACCAUCCCAUGCUACCUCCCGCAGAUAUAACUAAAACGGGCGUUGCCAUUGUUACUGCACAUCAAUCUUACUCGAAGAAGAAGAAGAUACAGAUUCACCAUCUUCUCCUAAGUGGGAGAUGCUCCUAUAUCCAUCAGUAUGAGAAAGUCCAUAAUAUUCUGCCAAAUAAACCAAAGCUUCUGAGUUGGUAUUGCAUACUUUCCACAAGGAUGCCACUUCACCUUUUGAGACAGUACCCCAGCCCUCACAAUCAUCUAUAAAGUCCAGCAGUUUUGAGUAGAAGGAAUCAUAGUUCAUAACAAGGAAGGGAACGGGAAGCACGGACCCAAUCCUUUGAAGUUGAAUCAGUGCCAAAAUCUCAAACGCCUCAUCCAGAGUGCCAAUUCCACCGGGCAGAGCAACAAAAGCCGUCUUUUCUGAGCUUACAGCUCUAACACCAGCAUCCACCAGGCCAUGCUUCCUCGCGGAAAAGAACCUGCAGGUGUUUUAAACUAUAAACCAGUUAAACAAGUAUGGAUCCAAGAGCAAUUUGCACGGAAAAAAACUAGUUCCCUUCCACCUGCACGUUAGAUAGCUAUCUAAUGGUAGGUAGGGAUGAACAACUGUAGCAGUCCAUUGUCCAGCUUCCUUGCCUAUCUUGAAUCCACCAACCGGCUUUCCUGCUUCAAGAGCGCCUUUAGUGACGGCAUCCAUUAGCCCCGGCCCAGCUCCCGACCACGUAGCACAAUCUAAGAGGUUGGCAAUCUACAAACAAAUUAGCAAGUUGAUCAAGCAACUCCUACACACCUAACCAUCAAAAUACGGAUAUUGAAAGGCGAUAAACUUACUCCUUUCGCCAACUGAAAUGAUCUCACAAAAUGCGGAUGCUCAGGUCCCAAUCUUGCUGAACCUAAGUACACUACUCCUCUGCCAAGCCUUCGUAUAAGCUCAUAGCAGUUCUCAAUUUCUCUCUUCACCUACUUUCCCAAAUUUCAAAUUUCAGAAAUAACCAUAAACAGAAGCAAAUAGCCACUCAAUCUAAGGAAAUAGGAAUAUUAUAAGCUGAGUGAUCAAGAAUUCGGCAUAUGAUCUCAAGCAAUACAGACACACUGCGUGAUUUUUUUUAAAACAAGAAAUAUAAAAAACAGUAACAUUGCAACGGAAACAAUGAACUAAGGUAAAGAGACAUCAGAAGAGAUGAAUUGAACCUCAGCAGGGCUGGUUCUCUCCUCAAAAUCAAUGCCCUCAAACUUGCAGCAAACAGGCCUUGGUGAUUGAGUUUGAGCUUUCCUAUAAAUCUCAGUGAUCUUCAAACUCGCCGUGCGCUUCCGAUUUCCGGCAACAGAGGGAAUUUUCGUAAAACGACAUCGCCGCGGAGGAUUCACGUUGAGCCACAAUGAACUCGAACUAGAUACUGAAAAACCCAUUUUUCAGAGAGUCGAUGAUUUUUCAGUUGGCAUCAAUGUAUUGUAAUGUAAUAGCAACAUCAGAAUCCAAAGUUUUGGGGAGAAAGAAAUGGAACAAGGUUCGUUUGGUCGAUUUGCUCAAGGUGCAGAUGCUUCGAUUCUUGCCCAGCACAAGGGUGAAGUAGACCGUGCGCAAGUUAGUCAGGGGUACGACGGUCAUUUCAUGCGUUAGCUUCUGGGGUCAAUAUGCUAUUUUAAGAUAGUACGGGGGUCCCUUCACCCAAACGACGUCGUCAAGGGAGGGAUAUAUUUAUAAUUUACUCCAGUUAGGGUUUUUGCUUCGAGUAUAAAUCCCCAGCCACCCGCUAUACUUGUUCUUCUAUUUGCUGGCCGCCUCUUCCGUCAUUGCUUAACGUCGGAACCCUAGAACCCCCAAUCGUCAAUCAUGGGUAAUGACAUCGCUUUUCUUUCACUUUGAGUACUACCUGUCGACGUAAUUCACCGGUGAUUUAUUUCGCGAGAAAAUGCUCUUCUUUCGCAGGUAUCUCACGGGAUUCAAUGCACAAGAGACGUGCAACUGGAGGAAAGAAGAAGGCAUGGAGGAAGAAGCGAAAGUAAGUUUCUUUUCGUUUCUUCUUAAUUCAGUUUUCUUACGUUUCUCGUUCCGGUAAUUGAUGCAUUAUUCUGAUUUAAAAUCCUUGUUUUCUGAAUAACUUGGAAUUAAUUUAGUCGCUACAAGUUUGUAUUGAAUUAUUAUUUAGGAUAGCAGUAUUAUUUGAUACAAGAGAUCACUGUUACAGAUAUCCUUGCAUUUUGAAGAAAAAUAUUUUUACCAGAUUGUGUAGGUUUUGUUGUUUCUUAUCCUAUUUUGAAUUAUAUAUUUAUAAUUGUGGUUAUUUGGCUGGCAUCUGUUCUCCCAUGCUCGUGCUGUGUAAUUCCAAAUAAUUUACAAGUCAGUCUAUAUAUAAACCAUGUGUCCAGCUAGAUCUAUGGAGCUAUGGUUCUGCUACUGCUGUUUCAUUAAUUUUCACUAUUGUGUGUGACUAGGUAUGAGCUCGGAAGACAACCGGCUAACACAAAGUUGUCGAGCAACAAGACAGUGCGCAGGGUGAGAGUUCGAGGAGGUAAUGUGAAGUGGCGUGCCUUGAGGUUGGAUACAGGAAACUAUUCUUGGGGUAGUGAAGCUGUAACCAGAAAGACCCGUAUUUUGGAUGUGGUUUACAAUGCAUCAAACAAUGAACUGGUUAGAACACAGACUUUGGUGAAAGGUGCCAUUGUUCAAGUUGAUGCUGCACCAUUCAAGCAGUGGUACCUGCAGCACUAUGGAGUUGAAAUUGGCCGCAAGAAGAAGGCUGCUGCCAAGAAGGAAGGAGAGGUAUGCAUAUGUUCAUUUCUUUUUAUUUGAAUAUGUACAUUUUAUGAUAUAUAUUACUUCGCAUAAUUUUUUAUAUUUAUUAAUGGUUUGGUUAAUGUAUUUUGGAAAUUGUAAUUAGCAGUUUAAUCUAUCUACCUUUUUCUUGGUUUAGGAGACAACUGAGGCUGCUACUGAAGAAGUAAAGAAGAGCAACCAUGUUCAGAGAAAACUAGAAAAGCGUCAGCAGGAUAGAAAGAUCGACACACAUAUUGAAGAACAAUUUGGUGGUGGUCGUCUGUUGGCAGCCAUUUCCUCUCGUCCUGGCCAGUGCGGCCGCUGCGAUGGGUAUGUGUAUUCCACCUAAAGUUCUUUACUAUGUGAUACAUGAUAUUUGAUUACAACCUGCAUUCAUGCGGGAGCUUGUUCUGUGACUUUCUCUUGUGCAUGUUGUUUAUUAUGCGGGUGAUGGGUACGGUGAUUGAUUUCAUUAGCAUCUUUUGUAGUCCGAAGUUUAUUUUUGAAUUUCAAUGUUAUAUUAAAAGCAACUAGAUUUAAUUUUCUGGUGGGGUGGAUGUUAAGGGAUACUGAAAUAUGUGAUAUUCAUAUUAUCUGUCAAAAAUCUUUCAUUCUUGUUUUGAGCUAUGCACUUUUGUUGGCUGCUUCCAUUCUUAGACACUGAUUAGACGCUAUCUAAUGUUAAGCAUGGUGUUUAAGGUGUAGGUUUAAAUGUCUUAUAUUAUUUUUCUGGAAAUAGGUAUAUUUUGGAGGGCAAGGAAUUGGAGUUCUACAUGAAGAAACUUCAGAGGAAGAAAGGAAAGGGUGCCAGCGCUUAAAUUUUGCCUUGAGUUCAUUGAAAGAUGCAUUUUGGUGCAAACAUUUAAUUGUCUUUUCAUCGCCUUUCUAUGUAAUGUGCCGAACCAGAAGAGGUUUUUUAGAGUUGCUUUGAACUUGAAAUUGUUAUACACUGUUGAUUUCGUAAUAUUUAAGUUUUAGAUGGUUUUUUAGCUUGAUUUUUAUGUUGGUUGCUGAAUUAUCACUGUGUUUAGUUUUUUAUUUUUAUUUUUAUGAUUUGACUAUAAUUAGCAAAUAACCUUUUUGGUGACAGAAGUUGCAAAAUUUCAUUUCUGGGACGUUGCUCAUUUUUGCUAGUGAACUCCGUCGCCGCAUGCACAUUAUGUGGUAGUAUUUAGAAACGAUAGUUUGAUAAAUUUUUGGUUAAAUAUUGUUUUUCCAUUGUUUUCCAUCUUCAAAAAAUGCCCUAUUCGAACUAAUAUUGUUAUACAUCGUCUCCUAAAUGACAAAUUUUUUGCUAUCUAUCUAAAAUACCAUGUGCAUCAUUGGGGUAAUCCAUAAACUGAUGUGGCAGCCAAAGUUUGUAAAAGAAUUACAACUCUCCCUCGACUAAAAAUAGAUCUUAGCUCCGACAGUAGCAUCCUGAGUGCUAUUGACACCUCCAUACUCCCCUGAGAAAUCGCAGAUUGCAAGGCAAUUGCUAGCGCUGCCGUCUUCUUCAUGUUUAUCGUAGACCAAAAGAAAUGACUUAACCCUCAAACUCAGUUGAUAAUAUAGAUAUCAAUUUUUGAUCAAGUUCAUUAUCUUUUUAUACUUUAUUUUUUAACAUUAUCAAAUCCAAAACUGAAUAACAUAUCUGGUUAACAUCAAACAAGUUGAAUCAAGUUAGAUCCAUCAUUUGGAAAGUGGUGGCCUCGUGAUAAUAAUCUACAUAUUCAGAGUGAGAAUAUGAUACGGAGUUGAAUUUCCUUCUCCUUCCAACUCUUAGGUAUACACUAACCAUCACAAACAUCACUUACCACAAAACACUGCUAAAAACUUGUACUAGAUUAGUUAGAAACCAUGAGGCUUGAGCUAUUGAAAUCUUUAUCUAUAACCCAAGUAACAGUAUACAAUGCGUAUGUACAUUUCAAAAGUAUAUCACAGGGCAUGAUGUACCAUGACGAAAUUUUCUAGAUUUCUAAAGUAUUUACUUUACUACCUCUAUGCAGCAGUAACAAGCUGCACAGCCAUCCCUGUUGACAGAUAAGUAGCUCAAUGUAACAGAUUACGCUGCUAACCGAAAAGCAAAUGCACAUCCAUUCAUAGCUAAGUAUGAAAACUUUCUUGGAGGCAAUCACAAGACUGCUGUCAAAGAGAGUGCUUAUAUCCAUUAAGCAGCUUUAUAUAUACAUACAUAAACAUUAUACACGUAUAUUUCCUCUUUAAUGAUGCCCUCUGCACCGAUUAUAGGCUGUUUUCUGGCACGCAGCAGCACACUGUAACUCACUCAAUCCAGUAAAAGUCCGUUAAUAUAGCUGCUGAGUGAAGUACCAAUAUAUGAUCAUUUGGUGAAAUUUAUAGCAUCCGGUAACAAUAAAUAGUGCACUGUAUGACAUGCAACAAAAUAGGUUGCUUACAAUAAAAAGAUAUUUCAACUGUUGCAAGAUUCAGAAGCUCUAGUUAUAUAAUCCUUAAGAAACUAUCAUUAUCAAGCAAUAUUGAAAACCCAACUAUAUAACUUACUUAAGAUGCCUGUAUUGAUCUGUGACUUAUAUCAUCAGCCAAGAAGCAAACAUAACAUAACAAGUUAGCUUCCAUCUUGAUCCAUGGACUAGAACGUAUCAUUUCCCUUGUAUCUUUCUCAAUCUCGCUCUAAUAUAAUCAUUUCGAGCUUCGAUCCGAGCUUGUUGAGGAGCAACAUUGACAUGAGAAAGGUACAGACCGUAUCCAAACAACGAGCAACCAGCGAGGAAAAGCGCUGCUGUAGCUGCAAUCUUUUUAGGUGUAGCCUCAAAACACACCACCAUCUGAAAUUUUAUUCAUUCUAUUAGUAAAGGGAACUUAAUAACCAACACUGAAGCACUUUGCCACAUCAAUGCAAUAUACAGAGGGGAAAUGGGGAAGCUUUAAGCUACUCCAUUUGGCAUUAAAACAAUCAGCAAUAAAAGUGUCAUAACAAGCAAUGUUGUGAAAAUCGCUGGAGGCGGACGCCUCAAGGCAAGGCGACGCUGAAGCGUACCAAUAUGUGCGCCUCUGCAAGAUUUUUGUGUAUGCACGCCUCCUCGGCGAAAGGCAGGAGCGGGAGAUGCGGGCAUAUUUAAAUAAACGUGAUUUCGACAAAAUUUUCAAAAUUUCAGAAGUGAUUUCAGCAAUUUUACGCAUAAACAUGGAUUUCAGUAAUCAGACCAACAAAAUUCAUUCAAUAUCUUCACUAUGAAAAAGAAAUGUAAGCUGAAAUCAUCUUCCAUAAAUACCUUUUCUUGAAUGUGUCCCCAAACUCUGGAAUUGAAGAUCAGACGAGGGAGAAGGGAAUUAGGGCUCAAAGAAGGAUACAGAAUGAUGGGUGUCAGCUUUAGAAACAAAGAGCGAGAGAGUGCGGGAACUCGUUUAUUUUCAUAGACACGUGUUUGGUAUCUUGGGCUAGAUAUAACAGUAUUGAUUAAAUCCGGUUAGAUAAGCUAGUUAAAUAAAGAUUAAUUACUAUUGAUUGUGUGUUUGACUCAUAAGAUUAAUUAUUGGGUUUAAGCAGUUUUCCGAUUGUUAUCCAAUGUUAAAAAUUACUCCCUCCGUCCCACCCAAGAUGCAACAUUUUCCUUUUUGGGCCGUCCCAACCAAGAUGCUACAUUCUUUAUUUGGCAAAAACUAACACUAAUUAAAUAUUUUUUUAUUACAUUAUCUCUCCUACUUUAUCACUUUUUUAUUUUCUCUUUCUUACUUUAUCACUAAUUAAAUAUUUUCUUAUUACAUUCUCUCUCCUACUUUAUCACUUUAUUACCUCUUCUCUCCUACUUUAUCACUCCUUAAUAUAUAACUCCUUAAAUCUUGUGCCCAAAAACAAUGUUGCGUCUUAAGUGGGACGGAGGGAGUAGAUAACAAUGUCCUUACCCAUUAUGUCCCCAAAAUAAUUUUGUAAUGGCAGAAAUCAUCGUCAUUUUCAUUUGUGUCUUUGUGUGUGUGUGUGUGUGUGAGAGAGAGAGAGGAGAGAGAGGAAAUGCCAUUUGUUCGUAGGGUCAUCUUAUUUUGCUGAAAACCAGAAAAAGAUAAAAGCAAAGGAGAGGAAUUUUGGGGUGAAUGGCUGCUGGACAGCCGGAAAAGCGGAGAGGGAGACGGCUGGACGACGACGCCGAGCGCUGCCUGCGACACGGUGACCGACGGAGAAAGAGUGGGGGCGGCCGGCGCCAGAUCUGGAAAAGGGGAGGCGGCGGCUGCGUUAUGCUGCUGUCGACGAGGGGGCGGCGAUGGAGGCCGUUGCUGUUGACCGGAAGAGGAAUAUAUGUUGAAGGAGAGAGAGAACUCAAAGAAACGAUGGUGCGGCGUCGACUGUGCUGGCGUGACAGAGAACGCGACUGAGGGAUGAGAGAGGGCGAGAGAUGAGGGAGGAUCAGGAGAAAGAAAUGUUGAGGGAGAGAAGGAAAGGCGGCGUCUCCGGCGACGGCGACACCGUCGAGGCGGCGGCAGAAGCCGAGAAAGAGGGGAUGAUGAUUAAUUAUACCGAUUGAAAAAUGGGUAACAGAAUUUGGUUUGAAUUCUGUUCUAAAAAAUUGAGGGCAAUUAAGGCAAAGCAAAAUUUAAUAUGGGUCACUGUUCAAAAUGGGUAAAGGUAACGGAGGGGGGUGCCGGAUUCACAAACCAGAUGCUACAGUAUUUUUACCCCGGGCCGUGCCUCAUUUCCGGGCCAUCUGUGUAGUGGUUAGGGGAUACCAAACAGACGGAAUAACCCGUAUAAAAGCGCUAAUACUCCCUAAUCCAUGCAACCAAACACGUCCUUAGGGAGUAUUAUACAAUAAUUCAUCUUAAUUAAGGGGGGUGUAUUAGUUCAAGACUUUAAUAGAUUUUUGCAGACUUUUAAAAUUUGGGUGUAUUCGUUCAAAACUUUUAAAAGUCUAUGAAAAUCUAGGUGUAUUCGUUCAAGAUUUUUAAAAGUCUAUAAAAAUCUGGUGUAUUCGUUCAAAACUUUUAAAAGUCUACGGUGGGUGUAUUUAAAAAUCUAUGAAUUUUAACAUUGGACUGAUUUCCAUGAAUUUCACUCUAAAAAUACACAUGAACAAAUUCGAGUUCGGACCACGAGAAUUCAAAUCUUGAGAGUUUCCAGUGCUCGCUGGGUGCCAGCGGACGCGGCUGAAGAAGCCAGCGCCGGCUGGCACCUAGCGGCCGCUGAUGGAGAGAUACAAUGAUGGCUGGGCUGGGCCAGCGGCCGCUCGAGGCAUCCAACGAUCGCUGGGCCCAGCGAUUUCUUUUAUAAAUAGCAGCCUUCCGUCAGUUUAUUUCAUCACACGCCAGACUAAAAAAAUAACCCUAGUUUUUGUGUUCUGCAUUGGCUAUUCGAAAAAUAACCCUAGUUUUUGUGUUCUGCAUUGGCUAUUAGCAAGGUAUUCUUUCAUAAAUUUUGUAUCUUCAUCUUAUUUUCUUAUUCAGUUUUUCUAUUGCAUAAAUCUUGUAUCUUUAUAAAUUGUUAGCAUCGUAUUUAAAAUUUUCAUGUGAGUUGAUUUUAUUUUUUGUUGUUUUUCUUUAUUUUUUCUUUUAUUCAUUGUUAUAUACUAUAUACGUAUAUGUAUUUUGUGUCUAGUAAUAUUAUCAUGGGAGAUUCUCAACAACAAGAUACGAAAAAAAGGACAAUCUAUGAACCAUGGACUAAGGAACAAAGCGAUGUAUUGUUAGAAAUUUUGGUUGAGUCUGCGAAUCAGGGAUGUCGUGAUAAUAGUGGUAUCUUUAGCAAAGCAACUGUUGAAGAAAGGAUACUUCAUGUUCUUAAUGAAAGACUUCGGUGUAAUAAGACUUAUAACCACUACCUAAGCCGUAUCAAAUGGUUUAAGAACCGUUGGACUGCUUAUUCAACACUCAUGAAGUUUAACUCCGAGAAAAUAAGAUGAAGAUGCAAAAUUUGGGGCCUGCAGCGCUCGCGAGGUCUCCACGUUCGCUGGCUUUGUGGAUUUCAACUCCGAGAAAAUCACGACAAAUUCUUGCUAAUUCAUUAAACAUCCGACCAAGAAUUCAUUCAAAAUCAUGAAGAAUCCGUGAGAAUUCUAUAGACUUUUAAAAUCCACGGACUUUUAAAAUCUACAUAAGUCUUGAACUAAUACACAUUCGAGUUGCACAUUUGGCGUGAUUAUAAUUGUUCGCAUUAACCAAACCUCGUUAGAGCAUCACACUUGGGGAUGACCUGAUAGAAGGGAGAUCACUUUGGGUUAAAGAGGCCAAAGUGGGGUGACUUUCUUCCUCCAAGUUGAUACCCGCCAAAUCGGGAUGAUAAUCGCCUCCUUCGGAGAGGUCGGAAAUUCAAUUUAGAUGUACCAAUUUGGAUUGUAUGGAUCCAUUUUUUUUAUAGAAAAAUUGAGAGCGAAAAUAGAAGAAGGAGAAGAGUAUAUAAAAAAGAAAAUACAAACUCUGUGGAUUUUAAUUGGGUGAGAAUUGUGGAAUAUGAGAGGAUUUUAACAAAAAAUUGUUAUAUUUCUCUGAAAAUUCUUGAGAUGCGUUAGAAGAAACGUAGUGAUUGAAAUUAUAUGAAUGCAAAAUGAAGAAUAAAAAUCAUAUUAAUUGAGGGUACAGGCUAUAGAAAAUUUAAUUCGGGGCUAUAAGCUAUUGGAUAAAACAAUAACUUAUAAUUAUUUAUUAUUUUAGAUGAGAGGCUAUACUAAAUAAACGAGGACUAUAAAUAGAACUAGCCGGUUCAAAAUUGUGUACCCCUGCUAAAACACACAUAGCAGGAGAUACCUCUGUUUUAGAAAAGCUUUUUUUCUCUAUUAAAGAAUCAAAAUCUUAAUAUUUAAGCCGAUACUCCAGAAAAGCUCAUGCUAAACUGAAAAACACAUCAAAUACUGUGGAAGUAUGAGUAAGUAGCGGUUCAACUAACUACAAACGCAUUAUUGUCACUUUGUGCUAUGAACAGCUCCAACAGAUUGUUCAAGUUUAGACGAUGAUGGGUUUGAAUAAUUCUCCGGAGCAGCCCACAGGCGACGUCGCCACGAGUUCCCUGAUCUCCUUAACCACCUGAGCUUUGUCUGCGUCAAACAUCUCAUCCUCUGCACAACAAAUCCAUACUUAGCCUCAACACUGUAGUGUGUUGCAAUGUUACGUUAGACCACCAAUUUAGUAUACUACCUUUGUCACAGUUGAAGCCAUCAAAAAAGCGCAGAAGUUUGUUUCUGUUGGCACACAGUAUGUUGACGAUAUCAGUAGGCUUGUUCUGGUUCGCCACAAACAGCUGCAAACAUGGCCGAGUUAGCACAAGUACAACACAAAAUUGAUUAUAUAGUAUGACUAGUAUCGAGGGCAUGAAGUGAUCAAAACCUUGAACACAUGGAAUGCAUCAAUCUGUAUGCACUUGUGUGUUUCCUGAACACAAGACCACCACCAUUAGAUGUUGCAAUAUCAUCUAUGGUUAGCUUUCUAGUGGGAAAAGGAAUAUUACCCUCAGGAGAUUCAUGAGAACUCUCAUAUUGUCCUUGGAGCUGACAUAGCGCACCAUGACCGCAGAGUUAGAUCUAUCAAGCAAGAUGUCUCCUAGAAGCUGAAACCCAAAAGUUAUCAUUAGUCUCAAAUGUCUUACAGCAACAUCAACAUCAACAUCAGUAGCCAUUUAUCACUUUUAGUCCAAUGGAGCUAAGAAACCGAAAUUUAAGGUGUAGGGUUGAAAAUCUGAGUUGUUCAUAACAGAAAAGGGUGUGAUCUCAGACAAUCCAUACCUUGACAGCAUGGCGCCGGGUCAUGUAGUUUGGAGACUCCAGCAACUUUGAGUUGAAUUCAGAAAAAAACUGCAAAAAAGAUUAGGACAUGUGUAAGGUUUUAUAAUCUACUAAGGGGGCAUUUACUUUGCAUAAUUGAUAAGAUGCAUGAUUGGAUAUUUUGAUCUUCAAGACUAGGGUUUCUCCAAUAUCUAAGUAAUCGAAGGAUUAGUCUUUACUAUUUUUAUCUAUUAAGACCAAUACUCAAAAGUAAACUUCCCCUAAAGAGUCGCUAAAACUCCAGGGGAAUUUCACAAACAGAAGUAAGAACCUCAUUUCUACUUCAUAUUCAAAUGAAUAACAACAAGAGGAAAAAGAAAACCAUACCCAACUAUGAUUUUCUGUGAGAAAAUCUGCAACAGUGGACUUAUGCCGUGUCAUAAGCUCCUGGAAUAUAUAGCAGGAAAAGAUAUAGCUUCAGUCAUAUGAUAUUGUCAACAAUGAAGAGGGAAAAUGGCGAGUUUUUCUCUCAGAUAAGACAUAUACAUCACGUAUUGUCAAAAGCACAUCCAGACAUCAACAUGGUCAGUCAAAUAUUCAUCCCUGCACUAAAGUGUUUACAGACAUGGAGCAAUAUAACUGGUCAUUUAUAGAAAACUAUAAAUUUAAUUACAUCCUGGAUGGAACAUCAACAGAAAAACUGUAAACAUAGACCAUGUAGGUAGGUUAAAGGGUUGACAGGCAAAUAGUUCAUUUCCACAAGAGAUAUAAGACUACCAUGAAGAAAAUCCAAAACCACUUAGCUAGGCAUCACUAAAAUUUGAAGUUAUGAUAAAUUCGUAACAUUAGACAUAAUCAAGGAAACUACAACUAAAGAGACAGAAACAAAAAGCAUAAUGGACAACCUUAAAGGUAGCAGCAGCAUCCGAAGCAACAUCAAAAUUUGGAAGUUGUAUGUAGUCAAAAAACUUCUUCAUAUGGGCUGACUGCAAAACGUAACUGCCAGCAAAGAAAUAUCAAGGUUCAUGGAAUAUAUGAGAGAGUGGAAUCUAAAUGACAAAAAUAUGAUUCAGAAUUUGUAAAUUAUUAAAAGUACUUCAUGAAAGCUUUACACUGGCAAGAACUAAAAGAACAGAUUAUAAGUUUUUGCACAACUACAAGAUGUUAAGCAGUAAUAUCUAAAAUCUAGAAUUUACAUCCACAUGGCAGCUUCUUACCUAGCGACCACCUGAUGUCGUAUGCAGUCCCUUAACAUUCCUCCAUAAUGCAGAGCAACAGAAUGAUCUUCGUACCUGUCAAAAGUGUAAUGCAAAACCAUCAUUUCACAUAUACCAGAAAAAAAAGGGAUAUUCAAAUAAUAACCAUCAGCCACACGCUCAUCAGUGUCACCUGCAGAGAAGGUUAUGAAACUAUGAUAAUUCAGGAAGCAAUUAAUCGCAGUAAAGUUUCCGUAGAUUGAUAUAUUGCUAAUGCCUCCUGCUUCAGAAUGAAACACUUCUAGAAAGCUCUAGAUACCAUCAAUUUGACAAAAGCUACCAUAGAAGACAUUUGUAUCUAUCUUAUAUACCGAGGAUAACUCACCCAGUAAUCAUAACGUCCAAAAGAUCAAGAUUCUCUUCUAAGUAGUCAGAAGCAAUCAACCGUGAUUGAACCGGUUGCCUUUGCAAAUUCGCAAUUAUUCUCGUUGCAUCCUUGCGAGUCUUCACAAAGAAAAACAUGUCCUUACCAUUAUAAAACUCAAACCAAAAUAACCAAAAACAAAAGCAAACAAAAAACAAAGAAUUGUUCUCGUAAGAAGUAGGUCACCUCGAAGUUUAUUUUGGGGAGGCAGAGAAUUAGCAGUCGCAUAGUGUCAUCAGUAAAGAACUCUUGAGUCACUUGGGCACAAGCUUCUGCAACAGGUUCUGAUUCUUCAAUUCCGUACAGAAUUGAUUUGAGCUCCCUGAUGUCGGCAUCUAAUUGCGCCAACUGCAAUCAAAAGCUUCCAUAUUAAAAAUAAUAAUAAUAAAAAAAAUCGUUUUCAUGAGGAUUGCACUAGAAGCAUAUAUGAAGAUCAGAAAGCAAUGGCACGUUGUAAAUCCGAUCGGUGAAUCUCGCAGCAUCUAAAAACGUAAAACAGACGAGAAAAAGCAUGAAGCUAGAGAAAAUGAGGGCGGAAAUCGACCUUAUCAUGGCGCCUGGGACUGCCGUCGUCGGAAUCGGAAUCGACGUAGGACAGCAGUCUCCUAACAUCGCGUACGAUCUCAGCGGGAGCCCUUGGUUUUUUGGAUUUGAAGAGGUUCUUCAUGGAAUUGCUGCGCAAAACUUUGGGAACAAGCUUCUUCAAACUCAUGGCGGAAUUGCUCUUCUUCACAGCGUCCUCCUCCUUCAUGGCGAUCGGCAUCUCUUUCCCCAGAAACUGCAACGUGUCUCGGGGGAAUGAGAUCCCGCUGGAAUGGCGAAUUCCAAGUACCACUCGAGAGAUGGACGCCUUCUUCCGUCUCUCUUGUUUUGUUUUUCCCUCCCUUUUUUUCCGUUUGUGUGAGAUGGGAUAAUGAGGGUCAAGAGGCAAGGUAAUGUAGGAGACGGAUACAAGAGUUCGGUGGGAAUGAGGAUGGAAUUGUGAGGACGAGCGAUGCCAUAAACGUUGGAGAUCCCUUCCCUUCUUCGAGUAGAACUAGGAGAGACAGAGGGAGAGAGAGAGGAAUUCCAAAUUUGUAGGAGCGAAUGAGGUUUGGAUUCAUCGUGGACCUUUUUUGCACUUUUUACAGAAUAUUCAUAUGUAGCGUCGUCAAUUAAUUUGCAAUGUGGAAAAAAUGACGGCUACUGCUGAGACAUUUUCCUAUUUAAAGAAAGGGUUAAGGACACAAUACCAUAUUCUAAAUAUUUGAUUAGAUUGUCAUGCAUUUAGAUAAGAGUAAAUUAUGAAAAUUAUUUGGUUUUACCUACUCUUUCUGUCCUUGAAUCCAUGUUUUUUUUUCUCUUUCUACCCCUAAUUAAUGCUUGAAAAACUAAAAAUUAAGAUAAAUAAUUUGUCACAGGUAAAAUUAUAAGUUUUUUUUUUUUUACUUGGGGGAGUUGGGGAGGGGAAGCACUGGAGUUUGAACUCGGGACCUCACUAUUCACACACAAGAGGUCGCACCGCUUGGUGUCCGUUGGGACGAUAAAAUUAUAAGUUAUGCCUUAUUUUAUCAUAAAAUUAUAAAACAAUGCAUUUAUUAAGGGAUGAUUGUGUCUGUUUUUAUGUCUAGAUGGGGUCUUUUUAUUUGUUCUUGUUGGAAUCUUGUGCCUGAGAGGGUAUAGUCUAGAGAUGAGGGCUUUUUUGAGCGUAACAGAUGUAGUCAAUGGCAUAUAAAUGUUGUUGCAUUUUCAUCGAGAGAUGUAUGAUUCUCAAAUUGAAAAAUUUCGGGGCAUAAAGCAGUUGGAUUUGAAGGCCAAAAUCAAAAGUGAAGCUGCUCAAAAUGUUCAGUCCUUUGAUUCGGGGCAGAACCCAAUAACAUUGGACGAAAGAUCAGGGGCAGAAGCAAACACGACAGGUGGACGUGGUAUGACUAUCCUAUGGACUCUUAAUUCGGGGCAGAAGGUAAUAUUGCAAUCAUAAAAAAAAGCGGCCGAUAAGGUUAAACCUCUACCUUAUCCUUAAAGAUUUAAAUCUGUGAAAAUUAGACAUGAAGAUAUGGAUAAUUCGCAAGGGAAAUAACUCCUUCCUCUAGUUGACUCUUUUGAGCUGGGCUUUCACGAGCCCUGAUCGCACCUAGAAAUGCCGCAUGGUUGCAAGCCAAAGGCGGGCACAUUCAUAUACCAUUUCAGCUGCUUUUAAUUUGGAGUGAUACUCACCCAUGUUAGGCAUAAUUAUUUAGUUUUCAAUUCAUGUUUUGCACGAUACUUUUGACUGUACGUACUUCUAUUAUUUCGUAAGUUUUAAAUUUCAAUAUUUUGAGUAUGUUUUCCUAUAUGUCUCUUGCUAAUUUCAUUUCAUUUAUAUCUAGCUAAGUUUAAUAACCUGAUUUGGACAAAGAUGAUUUAAGUAUGAAUACUUAAAAACGCAUAAGGUUUAAUUGGGCUUAAUAACUACAUGAAUGUGUUCCCGAUACAUUAGGUUUGAUUCCAAAGGCUUGAAAACUUAAUUACUUAACUGAUCACUAAUUGGUUAAGUGGUUUUGGCCACAAGUAAACUUCGGGGACAAAGCAUAAAGAAUUAUAACAUUUGAAUAGUACAACUGAUGUUGGAGUUCUGGUUCGUAGCUUUAACCAUACGAGUAACUGAAUUAGGUCUUUCUAAAUCUUGAUGCUUUCUGGGCAAACUACUCGAGCGAGAGACCAACGUGGGAGGAGUGGCUGGGCAAAAUAGUUAAACCCUUUAACUGAGAAUUUAUAGGUUUAUACAUGAAAUAAUGAAAUACUGGGUUGAGGGCUCUAGCGUGCGUGACACAUAAUAAUAUGGGCAUUAUCGCUUUUUACCUAUAACUAAUUGAUAUAUGCAUGUAGUGAAAAUGAUCGCACCUAUGACGGUCGUUUGCUUCAAGGAGUAUGAACAUAUUUUAAUAAAAAUUGGUAAAAGGUAAUUUGAUAAUGGAGUCAUGGUGCAAAAAUAAUGUUUAAAUGAUUGUAAUUGUAAAGUUGAUGGUGGUGUAUGUAUAAAAAUAGAAAGUAAGAAGAUUGAGACAAUUUUUUUUUGGGGGGACAGAGGGAGUAUGAUUUUUUAUACUACCUCCAUCAAUAAAAAAAUGCUUUCUUCGCCCCAAUAAAAUCGACUCUUUUGUUUUAUACGCAAAGAUUAAGAAAGUGAUUGUAUGCUUUAGAUGAGAGUGACCUAAUAGGAUCUAAUGUUAUUAAAUGCUUUUUUAAUCCUAAUUAAUGAGAUAAAAUGUAGAAUACUUUUUCAUUUCACAUUGUCAUUCCCAAUACAUUUAAAUUUAUAAUACACAUGAAUUUAAUUUUUAAUUGCCACAAUGUUAAUAUUACCUGCAAAAACGCAGAAUCAGCAGCAACAAUCGAAAGUGUACAAAAUUUAAAGAUGCUACUCUCUCCGUCUCAUAUGACUAUAAGAGUGUGCAUAAUUGUUGGUGACACGAAUUUUAAUAAAUAUAAGGUGAAUGCGUUAUUAAUAAAAGAAGGGGCCAUUUAUUAGCAGAAGUGGUCCAAAAAAGAAAAAUGCACACUCUUGUGUGACGUUUCAAAAUAGCAAAAAGUAAUUACUUUUAUGGAAUAAUGAUGUAAAAUUUUCAUUAAAUGGGCUACACCCUAUAACAAGGUCUAAAGUGCACAACAAAUUAAAAAUUUGAACUAAGAUUUUGGAUUUCCCUCUAAAACUAACUAUAAAUAAGAUUACACCAUAUUCCCCACACACUACAAAUUAAAACAUUCAAAAUAAAAUAAAGAGUAAAAAUCUUUCAACAUCUGAGAGGAAUCAAAUUAUGCAAUUUCUAUACUUCAAAACUUGAAGAAUGGGAAGCCAAGGAAAGGAGUGAGUGAAGGAGGCAAUCACCAUAUUAAAAUCUUCAAAGAGGGUAGUGACUCGUCUGUGAGCUGUAGUUAAACAGAGACAAAAUGAUGAGCAAAUAUUCAUAUGCAGUGCUAAACCAAAAUGCACUGAGAAGAAAAAGAGUUCAUAUUAAUUUGGAAUUGAUUCAAAGCUUGUAUCUCUUCAUAAGAUAAUAAUUAGAGAAUAGUUUAUUUUUACCAUUUUAAUAUGUCCGCAAAAGUUUAUUUAUUUCUAUUUAUAGAUACUACUCCAUACCAUUAUUAUCGUCAAUAUAUCAACUUAUUUUAGUAUCUCCACAAAAAUUAAUUAUUCUUAACAUUGCCCUAAUUAAGGUGAGAUCUUUGUGUUCUAAUAAGAAAACAGAGUUUGUAUUGGAAUAAUUCUUUAAUUCAAUGUGUUGAUUUCGUCUAAGGGAUUGGUACUGCAUAACACUACAACAAAAGUCACCUAAUAGGACUCUCAUAAGUGUCCUAUUAUGCAAUAUAAUAGGACUUUUGCUAGUAUAGGACUUUCCCAAAGAGAGUCCUAUUUACUCUAGUCACAAUAUAUAUAAUAGGACACUCACUGUAAUAAAACACUCAUGAAAGUCCUAUUAUGGGAUACUUGAAAAACUCAUUUUUGUGACACUCAAGAGUGUCCUAAUAAGUGAGUGUCCUAAUAGAGUCCAUAUUUUGUUGUUCUAUAAUAUCUAGUUUUACCUGGGUUCAUAUUAGCUCCUACGAGUUGAUUCAUUACCAAAAAACAUGAUAACUACUAAUUUGACAAAAUUAAAAUAAACGAUAUUUCAUUACAUUCAAAUUUAAAAUAUUACAUCAUAGAUGCAAGUACGAAGUAACAUACAAGUACAUUUCACUCACUCACGAGAACACCGUAUUAGUUUUUUCACUCACCCACGAGAACACCAUAUUAGUUUUUAUGC